RNAcentral lists this ribosomal RNA (422 nucleotides) under Verrucomicrobiota bacterium. Its description in RNAcentral is "Verrucomicrobia bacterium partial 16S ribosomal RNA". It matches the Rfam family "Bacterial small subunit ribosomal RNA", at positions 355 to 776 of the family's 1533-position model. The record is from RNAcentral. Lineage: Bacteria; Pseudomonadati; Verrucomicrobiota.
UGGGGAAUUUUGCACAAUGGGCGCAAGCCUGAUGCAGCGACGUCGCGUGAGGGAUGAAGGCCUUCGGGUUGUAAACCUCUCUCGCUCAUGGUCAAGCCGUAGCUUUGGGUUGUGGUGAGGGUAGUGGGUAAAGAAGCGCCGGCUAACUACGUGCCAGCAGCCGCGGUAAUACGUAGGGCGCGAGCGUUGUCCGGAAUUAUUGGGCGUAAAGGGCUUGUAGGCGGUUGGCCGCGUCUGCCGUGAAAUCCUCUGGCUUAACUGGGGGCGUGCGGUGGGUACGGGUUGACUUGAGUGCGGUGGGGGAGACUGGAAUUCCUGGUGUAGCGGUGGAAUGCGCAGAUAUCAGGAGGAACACCGGUGGCGAAGGCGGGUCUCUGGGCCGUUACUGACGCUGAGGAGCGAAAGCGUGGGGAGCGAACAGG